UACGUAGGGGGGCUAGCGUUGUCCGGAAUCAUUGGGCGUAAAGAGCGUGUAGGCGGCCCGGUAAGUCCGCUGUGAAAGUCGGGGGCUCAACCCUCGAAAGCCGGUGGAUACUGUCGGGCUAGAGUGCGGAAGAGGCGAGUGGAAUUCCUGGUGUAGCGGUGAAAUGCGCAGAUAUCAGGAGGAACACCGAUUGCGAAGGCAGCUCGCGGGAC
Molecule: ribosomal RNA, 212 nt
Filed under: uncultured bacterium
Lineage: Bacteria
Description: partial 16S ribosomal RNA
Rfam family: Bacterial small subunit ribosomal RNA
Source: RNAcentral